Molecule: transfer RNA, 100 nt
Filed under: Primula secundiflora
Lineage: Eukaryota; Viridiplantae; Streptophyta; Magnoliopsida; Ericales; Primulaceae
Description: partial tRNA-Leu
Source: RNAcentral
CCCAUUCUACAUGUCAAUACAGACAACAAUAAUGCAAUUUAUAGUACGAGGAAAAUCCGUCGACUUUAGAAAUCGUGAGGGUUCAAGUCCCUCUAUCCCC